Helianthus annuus (common sunflower) is the source of this 181-nucleotide long non-coding RNA. RefSeq lists it as uncharacterized. The record is from RefSeq and is a predicted model, not a curated record. Lineage: Eukaryota; Viridiplantae; Streptophyta; Magnoliopsida; Asterales; Asteraceae. The transcript is spliced from 2 exons.
GGAAACAAAUGAUUGAGAUCUGGAACACAUUCGAAUGGAAAGCGAAGUCUAAAAGAAACAAAAAAUCAGAACUAAAUCAAAAGGGGGCAAACAUACCCUCGGGUCACAAACCUAUGUGACUGCCAAAAGAAAAGUGGCUGAGAUAAUUGGGCGUGAACCGUCACACUCAGAGAUGUGGAAA